AGCGAACGCUGGCGGCAGGCCUAACACAUGCAAGUCGAACGGACCCUUCGGGGUUAGUGGCGGACGGGUGAGGAACACGUGGGAACGUGCCUUUAGGUUCGGAAUAGCUCCUGUAAACGGGUGGUAAUGCCGAAUGUGCCCUUCGGGGGAAAGAUUUAUCGCCUUUUGCGCGGCCCGCGUCUGUUUAGCUGGUUGGUGAGGUAACGGCUCACCAAGGCGACGAUCAUUAGCUGGUCGGAGAGGAUGACCAGCCACACUGGGGCUGAGACACGGGCCAGACUCGUAGGGAAAGGAGGAGAGGGUAAUCUUGCGCGAUGGGGGAAGGCCUGACGCCGCCAUGCGGGGUAAAUGAUGAAGGUGUUAGGAUUGUGAAAUUCUUUGACCGGGGACGAUAAUGACGGUACCCGGAGAAGAAGCCCCGGCUAACUUCGUG
This 433-nucleotide ribosomal RNA is filed under the name uncultured bacterium. RNAcentral's name for it is "partial 16S ribosomal RNA". It matches the Rfam family "Bacterial small subunit ribosomal RNA", at positions 28 to 507 of the family's 1533-position model. The record is from RNAcentral.